Odontomachus brunneus is the source of this 1857-nucleotide long non-coding RNA. RefSeq lists it as uncharacterized. The transcript is spliced from 3 exons. NCBI's taxonomy places the organism in Eukaryota, Metazoa, Arthropoda, Insecta, Hymenoptera, Formicidae. The record is from RefSeq and is a predicted model, not a curated record.
GGGAUCGGAAAACGCGGCUUUCCAUCAUUCAUCUGUCCAACCAGCCGCGACACGCGCGAGCGAGUGCGCGCGCCCGACACACAUUUAUCUCCGCGUUCCCCGUUGUAAAGUAUCCCCGCGAGUGGCAAAAUCACCGGCCGGGGUCGAAAGAGUGUGUUCGCGGUCCAUUGUGCACACGGAUAUCCGCGGCGAACGCACGUCAGAUAAAAGAAAAGCGGAAACUACGGCGGUGCCGCGCGCCGCGACGCCCAGCUUCGCUCCAUAUUCCACCGUAUAGACGCGCCGGCUCUCGAUGGAUUAUAAAUUGUCGGUCGUGCGGGAAUUAUGGCCAGUCCGAGAGCGCGGCCGUCGACUUCUCGUGGCUGCGCGAUUUACGACGCUAUUCUCACGGUAACGUUUUAGGUGCUCUUCUGCGUGCGGCUGAAGAGUGCGCGAGGAUGUGAUUCCGCCGCUUUCUCGUACAUCUCUGAGUUCGCGCGGGAGAGCAGAAAGAGGCAUCAAGUUGCGAAGUGCCGUUUUAUUAAUAUUUAAACAAAGGGUCGUUUCCUGGGGAAAUUUACAUGUUACAGCGUCACGCAGAAUUUGAUUUACUUGUAUACGAGAGGAAUAUGAAUUUCCAACCAUAGCGCGCUGGAAAGAGGCGUGACAUUUGGCCGAUCGUAUCGCAGUUUAAACCACCCCUAACGGUCCUCGACGGCGAGCAUGCGACUACAAUUUCGCGGCUUCCUGCAGUCCAUUGCGCGAGCGAAACUUGCGGACGACUGUAACCGGGCGAACUUUUCUCUUAGUCGCGGCUGACUCGUGGAAGCUACGACGCACGUGUAAAACGUACUUGUGUGGAUAACCUUGUCCACAAUACACACGUGUAUAUCAAUUUCCAUGGGCUUUCGUAAAUGCUCCGUGAGAGCCGGGAGUUUCCGACGGUGUCCACAAACUCGCAUGGUCGCGCAGUUCGCGACGAGAGCCCUGAUCUUUCGUUACGGCACUAUAUGCGAAGCUAUGGAAACGCGGGGAUUGGUCGAAGGCUGUUCCUGUGUCGUUGCACAGCGCAAUAAACAAAAGAAUAGCGUACGACGUCGGCGUCCCGGAAAUAUAUGCUUAAAGGAAGAGAGCUAGAGCGUCGCCGUACGAGUAGGAAGAAGAUAGAAAGGGAGAGGAAAAGAAAAAGAGAGAAAGGGGCGUCUCUAUGGGACUCUAGCGUGGUGAAAAUAAUGCGGCUAUAACUUACACGUCCUCCCCUUGGUUUUCGCAUUCAUGACGUGGCCUUGGAUACCGGCGAAAUAGGCUUCUUCUCGCUCUCCCUCGCUGUCACUCUACGUUUCCGCGUAUUUGUUUGCCCCGUCCGCCGAUAUAACCCGAUUUCUUCGUCUCGCAUGAGAUUUGCGGUACGUGCAACACAUUUGCCCAGUGACCCUUGCGUCACCGCGUAUUUUUGCGAAAAUGAGCAGAAGAAGAGGAAAGAUCGAGGAGAGAGGAUUGCGGUUGGACGAGACAGGCGACGGAAUAAGACGAAAGGACGAAAAGGACGGUGUUGCACGAGUCUCCCUACGAAGAGAGAAGAUUGAGUUACGUUGCGAACGCACGAAGCGGGAGCAAAAUAAAUGAGAGCUGCUUGCCGAGAAAUCGACGCGUUGAGACGAGAACAUGUAGUAACGUGAGUGCACACGCACACGUGAGAGAACUUUCCCUCGAUUCAACACGAAGAGAGUAUCGGAAGCACAUUAUGCGACAUGAAGUGCAAAAAUGCGUUUAUUAUAUUGUGACCACGGAAUAAAUAAAAUAUGAUAAUAAAAUAUUUCAAAGUAUCUACAUACAUUGAGAGAAAAAAUAUCUAAAAGUUAGUAAAUAUUUAUUUGA